ACCUAAUAGAUACCCUGGUAGUCCACGCCCUAAACGAUGCGAACUGGAUGUUGGGUACAUUACGGUACUCAGUGUCGAAAGCUAAACGCGUUAAGUUCGCCGCCUGGGGAGUACGGUCGCAAGACUGAAACUCAAAGGAAUUGACGAGGGCCCGCACAAGCGGUGGAGUAUGUGGUUUAAAUUCGAUGCAACGCGAAGAACCUUACCUGGCCUUGACAUCUGUCGAAUCCUGCAGAGAUGCGGGAGUGCCGCAAGGAACGACAAGACAGGUGCUGCAUGGCUGUCGUCAGCUCGUGUCGUGAGAUGUUGGGUUAAGUCCCGCAACGAGCGCAACCCUUGUCCCUAGUUGCCAGCACAUCAUGGUGGGAACUCUAGGGAGACUGCCGGUGACAAACCGGAGGAAGGUGGGGA
Molecule: ribosomal RNA, 411 nt
Filed under: uncultured bacterium
Lineage: Bacteria
Description: bacterial SSU rRNA
Rfam family: Bacterial small subunit ribosomal RNA
Source: RNAcentral